Molecule: unclassified non-coding RNA, 240 nt
Filed under: soil metagenome
Description: partial contains 5.8S ribosomal RNA, internal transcribed spacer 2, and large subunit ribosomal RNA
Source: RNAcentral
AAGACUAUAGACCUGCGGAGUACCUGCGGAGGGAUCAUUACAGAGUUUACAACUCCCAAACCCACUGUGAACCUUACAGCGUCGUUGCCUCGGCGGACCGCCCCCGGCGCGGCCCCCCUCGGGGGGGCGCCCGGGACCACGGCGCCCGCCGGAGGACCCAAACUCUUGUAUUUGCAGGAUGCAUUGCUCUGAGUGAAAACAAGCAAAUGAAUCAAAACUUUCAACAAUGGAUCUCUAGAU